Molecule: ribosomal RNA, 391 nt
Filed under: uncultured bacterium
Lineage: Bacteria
Description: bacterial SSU rRNA
Rfam family: Bacterial small subunit ribosomal RNA
Source: RNAcentral
CCUGAACGCUGGCGGCGUGGCUAAGACAUGCAAGUCGAACGGGUGCAGCAAUGCACCAGUGGCGCACGGGUGAGUAAUGUAUCGCUAACGUGCCCUGGAGCCUGGGAUAGCUGUCCGAAAGGGCAGGUAAUACCGGAUGAGACCACGGAGAGGCAUCUCUCUGUGCUCAAAGCCGCAAGGCACUCUGGGGAGCGGGCGAUAUCGUAUCAGCUAGUUGGCGGGGUAACGGCCCACCAAGGCUGCGACGCGUAGCUGGUCUGAGAGGACGGCCAGCCACAUCGGGACUGAGACACUGCCCGGACUCCUACGGGGGGCUGCAGUAACGAAUCUUCCGCAAUGCACGAAAGUGUGACGGAGCGACGCCGCGUGGAGGACGAAGUCCUCGGAGUGU